This 247-nucleotide ribosomal RNA is filed under the name uncultured bacterium. RNAcentral's name for it is "partial 16S ribosomal RNA". It matches the Rfam family "Bacterial small subunit ribosomal RNA", at positions 523 to 769 of the family's 1533-position model. The record is from RNAcentral.
AUACGUAGGUGACAAGCGUUAUCCGGAUUUACUGGGCGUAAAGCGCACGCAGGCGGCUGAUUAAGUCUGACGUGAAAUCUCCUGGCUUAACUGGGAGGGGUCGUUGGAAACUGGUUGGCUUGAGGUGGUGAGAGGGGUGUGGAAUUCCCGGUGUAGUGGUGGAAUGCGUAGAUAUCGGGAGGAACACCAGUGGCGAAAGCGGCACCCUGGCACUGACCUGACGCUCAUGUGCGAAAGCGUGGGGAGC